UUGUACGGCCGUACCACCCUGAACGUGCCCGAUCUCAGAAGCUAAGCAGGUGUGGGCCUGGUUAGCGUAUGGA
This 73-nucleotide ribosomal RNA is filed under the name Otolemur garnettii (small-eared galago). Lineage: Eukaryota; Metazoa; Chordata; Mammalia; Primates; Galagidae. The record is from RNAcentral.